This 212-nucleotide unclassified non-coding RNA is filed under the name soil metagenome. RNAcentral's name for it is "partial contains 5.8S ribosomal RNA, internal transcribed spacer 2, and large subunit ribosomal RNA". The record is from RNAcentral.
AACGAGGCCGACCUGCGGCUGAGUUACCUGCGGAGGGAUCAUUACCGAGUUUACAACUCCCAAACCCCUGUGAACAUACCUAUACGUUGCCUCGGCGGAUCAGCCCGCGCCCCGUAAAAAGGGACGGCCCGCCCGAGGACCCCUAAACUCUGUUUUUAGUGGAACUUCUGAGUAAAACAAACAAAUAAAUCAAAACUUUUAACAAUGGAUCU